RNAcentral lists this long non-coding RNA (1892 nucleotides) under Canis lupus dingo (dingo). RNAcentral describes it as "lncRNA (ENSCAFG00020016613.1)". The record is from RNAcentral. Lineage: Eukaryota; Metazoa; Chordata; Mammalia; Carnivora; Canidae.
AAGAAAUGUCUGUUCAUGCCUGCCCACUUUUUAACUGGAUUAUAUAUUUUGGGGGUGUUGAAUUCUUUAAGUUUUUUUUUUUUAAUUUUAUUUAAUUAUUCAUGAGAGACACACAGAAAGAGAGGGAGAAGCAGGCUCCAUGCAGGUAGCCUGAUGUGGGACUCGAUACCAGGACUACAGGAUCAUGCCCUGAGCCAAAGGCAGACACUCAGCUGCUGAGCCACCCAGUCAUCCCAAAUUCUUUAAGUUCUUUAUGUAUUUUGGAUACUAAUCUUUUAUUGGAUAUGUAAUUUGCAAAUAUCUUCUUCCAUUCAGUAGAUUGCCUUUUAGUUUUGUUGUUUCCAGUACUCAUAAUAUUUUUAAGGCUUACAAAGAAAAUCUAACAGAAAUAUAAACAGAAGCCUUAAUGUUAUUUUUAAAAAGAUUUUAUUUAUUUAUUCAUGAGGAACACACAGAGAGAGAAGCAGAGACAUAGGUAGAGGAAGAGGCAGGCUCCAUGCAAGAAGCCCGAUGCGGGAAUGGAUCCUGGGACUCUGGGAUCAUGCCCUGAGUCAAAAUCAGACACUCAACUGCUGAGCCACCCAGGCAUCCCAAGCCUUAAUGUUAUUAUAGAAAAAACACAGAUGACCACUAAAUAUAUGAAAAUGCUCAAAUUCACUGGUAAUUACAGAAAUAUAAGGUAAGCCACAAUCAUAUUUCAUAUCUCAAAAACUAAAGGGUGAUAUGAUGUAGAAUGGGCAUUCUCAUUAACUACUAGUGUAAAUUGGUACAAUCACUUUGAAAGAUAAUUUGUUAUUUUUCUGGUAUUCUGUUGCUGCAUACAAACCACCCAAAACUUAAAAUAACAUUCCAAAGUUCUAUGGGUCUGCAAAUUGGAAAGGUCUUGGCUGGGCAGCUCUGGAAUUGUUCCUUCAGUUACAGUGGCACAUUUGGGGACUGGGCUGCUGGGAGCUGACUAGGCUCUCUCUUCAUGUUGCUCCUCAUGAUUUCCACACAAGAGUGGUAAGGUUGAGCUCAGAGCAUGGUGACCUCUGGCUUCAGGGUGGCCAGAAGGCCUAUAAGGAAGGUAAUGUCUUUUUUUUUUUUUUAAGAUUUUAUUUAUUUGGGAUCCCUGGGUGGCGCAGCGGUUUAGCGCCUGCCUUUGGCCCAGGGCGCGAUCCUAGAGACCCGGGAUCGAAUCCCACGUCGGGCUCCUGGUGCAUGGAGCCUGCUUCUCCCUCUGCCUCUGUCUCUGCCUCUCUCUCUCUCUCUCUGUGUGACUAUCAUAAAUAAAUAAAAAAAAUUAAAAAAAAGAUUUUAUUUAUUUAUUCAUGAGAGACACAGAGAGGCAGAGGCAGACACCCCACAGGAAGAGCCUGAUGAGGAACUCAAUCCUGGGACCGGGAUCCCACCCUGAGCCAAAGACAGAUGCUCAGCCACUGUUCGACUCAGGUGUCCUCCUCUCAUCUUUUCUGUUGGAGAAUUAAAUGCUCUUCUGGCUUCCUCUGUCACUGUUACACAAAGCACUUUUAUCAGUUGCCCUGACCUCUUUCCUAGGUUCCUCUGAAUUGAAUCUUAUUGGUCUCCUAACAUUUUGACUUGAGGUAUUCAUUUGCUGUUCCAUAAUAAGGUUCAUUUGUUUGAUUUCUGAAAAAAUUAGAAGGGAAAUGAUCUAGAUUACUCAUUGUUACAUUGCUAAGCAGUGAUACUUAAGGAAACAAUCAAAUGCACCGUGUACUACAUUUCAUACUAGAAAGGACAUUUUAACAUAAAAAUUUAGAAAGCCCAUAAUAAUAGAAUUGAAAAAUACGUAGCUUUAAAAAUAAUGUAGUGAGUACUUCAUUAUUUUUCUUUUUGCUUCAGACUAAUGAAAACAUAAUAAAACACUGCUUUGGAGUAAGUAAACCUUGUAG